GAUGAACGCUAGCUACAGGCUUAACACAUGCAAGUCGAGGGGCAUCAGGAACAAAGCUUGCUUUGUUUGCUGGCGACCGGCGCACGGGUGAGUAACGCGUAUCCGACCUACCCAUAACUCGGGCACAGCCGCUCGAAAGAGCGAUUGAUUCCCGAUAUGUCCUUGGAGUAGAUUCAAUGAUGAAAGAUUUAUCGGUUAUGGAUGGGGAUGCGUAAGAUUAGGUAGUAGGCGGGGUAACGGCCCACCUAGCCGACGAUCUUUAGGGUUCGUGAGAGGAAGGUCCCCACCACUGGUACUGAGACACGGACCAGACUCCUA
Molecule: ribosomal RNA, 318 nt
Filed under: uncultured bacterium
Lineage: Bacteria
Description: bacterial SSU rRNA
Rfam family: Bacterial small subunit ribosomal RNA
Source: RNAcentral